RNAcentral lists this ribosomal RNA (510 nucleotides) under uncultured bacterium. RNAcentral describes it as "partial 16S ribosomal RNA". It matches the Rfam family "Bacterial small subunit ribosomal RNA", at positions 28 to 507 of the family's 1533-position model. The record is from RNAcentral.
GACGAACGCUGGCGGCGUGCUUAACACAUGCAAGUCGAACGAAGAGCGAUGGAAGCUUGCUUCUAUCAAUCUUAGUGGCGAACGGGUGAGUAACGCGUAAUCAACCUGCCCUUCAGAGGGGGACAACAGUUGGAAACGACUGCUAAUACCGCAUACGAUCUAAUCUCGGCAUCGAGGAUAGAUGAAAGGUGGCCUCUACAUGUAAGCUAUCACUGAAGGAGGGGAUUGCGUCUGAUUAGCUAGUUGGAGGGGUAACGGCCCACCAAGGCGAUGAUCAGUAGCCGGUCUGAGAGGAUGGACGGCCACAUUGGGACUGAGACACGGCCCAGACUCCUACGGGAGGCAGCAGUGGGGAAUCUUCCGCAAUGGACGAAAGUCUGACGGAGCAACGCCGCGUGAGUGAUGACGGUCUUCGGGUUGUAAAGCUCUGUUAAUCGGGACGAAAGGCCUUCUUGCGAAUAGUGAGAAGGAUUGACGGUACCGGAAUAGAAAGCCACGGCUAACUACGUG